CAUUCACGUGACCUGUUGUAGCAGGUAGAUAGCUACCGGGUUGCAGGCCCUUUGUUUAAAUUGAAUGGCGCGGCAAACACAGUGGUGAGAGCACUGUUUUGCGUGUGGAUUUUUGGCCGGCGGUGAUUUAACAGAGCGGUACACUGCAGUCAUCCUGCCCGUUUGCUUCCCUGGGCUUUUGUGCAACAUUAUCUGCAGUUCGCUUGGAUUUGUUGGUUCCGAGCAAGAGGUCAGCCGACUAAAUGCGUGCAGUUGCGGGGGAUUUUAAAGAGGAACGACCUGUAGCCACUGUUUUUCCCACCACCAUUGAUUGUGUAGCCUAUCAUGUAUUGUGAUGCCUUACCUAAACCGACGAUAUAGUGGUAGCUCGUUUGUAUAGGUAUCCUAGCUCAUAUCGAUAGUAUAUCCAUACUGGUAUCUUAUUUGAUCUAAACCUAUCGAUAGUAUAUCCAUACUGGUAUCUUAUUUGAUCUAAACCUAUUGAUAGUCCAUCCACACUGGUAGCUUGAGGUCCUAUUGAUAGCCCACCCACACUGAUAGCUGUCGGUGAUCCAAACCUAGUCCAUUCAUACUG
Alosa alosa (allis shad) is the source of this 574-nucleotide long non-coding RNA. RefSeq lists it as uncharacterized. The record is from RefSeq and is a predicted model, not a curated record. The transcript is spliced from 4 exons. Lineage: Eukaryota; Metazoa; Chordata; Actinopteri; Clupeiformes; Clupeidae.